RNAcentral lists this unclassified non-coding RNA (213 nucleotides) under soil metagenome. RNAcentral's name for it is "partial internal transcribed spacer 1". The record is from RNAcentral.
GCCUUUCAAAUCAGGGUGCGGCGCGGCCCCCGAGGAGCGGAAACAAUCCUUGGGAGGUAUGCGGGGGCUUCGAGCCCCCCAUUUACGCACGCACGACUGCCAUCCUUACUUUACGAGCACCUUCUGUUCUCCCUCGGCGGGGCAACCUGCCGAUGGAACCGAAUAAACUCUUUUUGCAUCUAGCAUUACCUGUUCCGAAACAAACAAUCGUUA